UAUCUAUAUAUUUUAAUGAUGCCAGUGCUUCUCUCAAACCAAGGAAAAAAGCGGAAUACUGAUGUCGGGUGUCCAAAGAUUUGUCAAGAAAGACCCGACUAUCCUAUUCAAUUUUAGGCCUUCCGUCAUCAUCAAUAUGAAUAAUCUUCCUAUGAUAUGAAUAAUUAGGAACAAAUCCUUCUUUGUCCCUUUUACUUUGGUAAAGGUUAUCUUUACCAAAUGCAGAACAUCUAAAAUAAAGUAAUUAUUAAUAGUAAGGUUUUAAAUUCUAUAAGACAAAAUUAUCCUAUUUUUCCUAUAGAAUGGGAUGUGUGGCUAUCCAACCUUAUCCCGAUAUUUUGGAAAGGAGUUUUUUCAAGAUAUGCCGAUUUGAACGCUAAGAUGAUAGUGAAAUGAUUAUGGCCCAACAAAUGAGAUGGUACCACA
RNAcentral lists this long non-coding RNA (426 nucleotides) under Elaeis guineensis (African oil palm). RNAcentral describes it as "long non-coding RNA (EGUI_LNC030073)". Lineage: Eukaryota; Viridiplantae; Streptophyta; Magnoliopsida; Arecales; Arecaceae. The record is from RNAcentral.